Molecule: unclassified non-coding RNA, 213 nt
Filed under: plant metagenome
Description: partial contains small subunit ribosomal RNA, internal transcribed spacer 1, and 5.8S ribosomal RNA
Source: RNAcentral
UCUCCGUAGGUGAACCUGCGGAGGGAUCACUACAGGCUUGCAAAAGCUCUGAAACCACUGUUUAUCUACCUGAAUCUGCUUCGGCGGGCGGCUCCAUGGCGGGGCCGUAGCUGCGAGGCGCCCACCGAAUACCCCUAAACUCUGUCGUCUGGAGAGUCUCUGAGUAUCAUAUUAAACAAAAAAAAACUUUCAACAACGGAUCUCUUGGCUCUG